RNAcentral lists this transfer RNA (77 nucleotides) under Bdellovibrionales bacterium. Its description in RNAcentral is "tRNA-Val". It matches the Rfam family "tRNA". From Rfam's summary of the family: Transfer RNA (tRNA) molecules are approximately 80 nucleotides in length. Lineage: Bacteria; Pseudomonadati; Bdellovibrionota; Bdellovibrionia; Bdellovibrionales. The record is from RNAcentral.
AGGCACGUAGCUCAGUUGGUUAGAGCGCUUGCUUGACAGGCAAGAGGUCGGCAGUUCGAAUCUGCCCGUGCCUACCA